UACGUAGGGUGCAAGCGUUGUCCGGAAUUAUUGGGCGUAAAGAGCUCGUAGGCGGCUUGUCGCGUCGGCUGUGAAAACCUGGGGCUCAACCCCGGGCCUGCAGCCGAUACGGGCAAGCUAGAAUGCGGUAGGGGAGACUGGAAUUCCUGGUGUAGCGGUGAAAUGCGCAGAUAUCAGGAGGAACACCGGUGGCGAAGGCGGGUCUCUGGGCCGAUACUGACGCUGAGGAGCGAAAGCGUGGGGAGCGAACAGG
RNAcentral lists this ribosomal RNA (253 nucleotides) under uncultured bacterium. RNAcentral describes it as "partial 16S ribosomal RNA". It matches the Rfam family "Bacterial small subunit ribosomal RNA", at positions 524 to 776 of the family's 1533-position model. The record is from RNAcentral.